This 1193-nucleotide long non-coding RNA is filed under the name Theobroma cacao (cacao). RNAcentral describes it as "long non-coding RNA (TCAC_LNC001892)". Lineage: Eukaryota; Viridiplantae; Streptophyta; Magnoliopsida; Malvales; Malvaceae. The record is from RNAcentral.
AUUUAUUUUGCUUUUUUGCUGUAAAAAUUAAUUAUGUAGUGUUCUAAAAAUUUUGUUUUAUAAGAAAAUUAAAUAUUUUAUUCUAUAUCUUUAUUAUAUUCAAAUAGUUAUAAUUUCAUUUUAAAUGAAAGUUUUAGACAUUUAAAGUUAUUUUUGAUUAUGAAUUAUGUGUUUUAUACUUGCAUACUACAUUUUUAACUGGUUUCGAAACUUUUGAGGAAAAAUGACCAAAAUGCCCCUGUGAGACAAAAAUCAUUUUUUUAUUGAUUUUAGUUGGAAAUAGCUUAAAUUCUUUUAGAACAUGAUAUUUGGUAACGGUUGCUCACCAGGGAAAAGAGAAACUGAUAUUAAAGCCUUGCGGGGUUCCGAUUGACAUUCUAGGUAAUGAGUGUCAAUCGGGACAACACGGCGGUUGUCACGGGCUUGAGGGGAGUACCGGGUCGUGACAAUAUGUGACAUGCCAUGGUGAGCAUAUAUGACACAACUAUGACACGGCAGGGUUUAGAGUUUAUGACACGUUAUGGAGGGAAUCUGUGGCACGGCAAGGUGAGAAUGUGAGAAAUGGCAUGAUUAGAAUAUGUGAAACGGUUGUGACACGACAAGGGUUAGAGUUUGUGACAAGCCAUGGUGGGAAUGUGUGACACGCCAUGGUGGGAAUGUGUGACACGCCAUGUUGAGAAUUUGUGACACAGCAUGUUGAAAUCGUGUGAAACAGCAUGGUGAGAUUUUGUGACACAGCAUGGGGAGCAUAUAUGUGACACGCCAUGGUUUGAAAUAGAAAAAAAAAUGUGGACAAAUAACAAGGAAUCCAUUUGAACUUCCACUGAAUGAAUAUUAUAAGGCCAUCACAUUUUAUUAUUUUUUAGAAUUCGUAAACGGUUGUGUAAAGGAACUAAGAGAGUUUGAUUCAUUCCUCAUUCCCAAAGGGACUAGAGUGUUCGACUUCAUUCUUUGCAAGCUUAAUGACAUCAUAGCAACAAUGUCGGUUAUCAGUGAAGAGGUCAGUCAGUCUCAAAUUAAAACGUUCUUUUGUUAAUUCAUUUUUUGCUGGGUUGCUGUGAUAUGUUCAUGUUUUUGCAUUUGUUAUGUUUUAACUGUUUUCUUCCUGGUUUUAUGGUUUUUGCGUAAAUUAUGGAGAGAGAUAACUACAACAUUUUUUUUUGCUGACAUGGUUUAUGGUCAUACCAAAGUUU